Molecule: ribosomal RNA, 492 nt
Filed under: uncultured bacterium
Lineage: Bacteria
Description: partial 16S ribosomal RNA
Rfam family: Bacterial small subunit ribosomal RNA
Source: RNAcentral
GAUGAACGCUGGCGGCGUGCCUAACACAUGCAAGUCGAACGAGAUGCGUAUCGGAAAGCUUCGGCCGGAAGAUGCGUUAUCUAGUGGCGGACGGGUGAGUAACACGUGGGUAACCUGCCUUAUGGAGGGGGAUAACAGAGAGAAAUCACUGCUAAUACCGCAUAAGCACACAGUACGCAUGGUACAGGGUGAAAAGAUUUAUCGCCAUAAGAUGGACCCGCGUCUGAUUAGCCAGUUGGCAGGGUAAAAGCCUACCAAAGCAAAGAUCAGUAGCCGAUCUGAGAGGAUGACCGGCCACAUUGGGACUGAGACACGGCCCAAACUCCUACGGGAGGCAGCAGUGGGGAAUAUUGCACAAUGGGGGAAACCCUGAUGCAGCGACGCCGCGUGAGUGAAGAAGUAUUUCGGUAUGUAAAGCUCUAUCAGCAGGGAAGAUAAUGACAGUACCUGACUAAGAAGCCCCGGCUAACUACGUGCCAGCAGCCGCCGUAA